Molecule: small RNA, 420 nt
Filed under: Arabidopsis thaliana (thale cress)
Lineage: Eukaryota; Viridiplantae; Streptophyta; Magnoliopsida; Brassicales; Brassicaceae
Description: ATSL247890
Source: RNAcentral
UUAACAAAUAAAUGGCUUUUUGGCAAGACGGAUUUAGAGGGACGGGUUUUUGAAUCAACAUUAAUAAAAAAAUAAAAUAUAAUUAAUCCACCGUUUCAAUACGGAUUAAAUUUUUAAUUUAUUAUUUUCUAAGACCACUAAUAUUAAAUAUAUCAAAUCAUCCUAAUUUAGAAAAGAUUAUAUAAAACAAAAAAUGUUAUGUGGUAUGUAUAAUGUUACUAUAUAUAAAAUUAAACUAUAAAAUAUAAAUGUAUUAGAAAAUGAUACAAUUUGCAAAACUUUUAUAUAUAAAAAAUAAUUCUUAAAUUUUAAAAAUUACUACUUCAAAAAAAAAUCACAGGACGGGUAAAGAAAUUACAGAACGAGUUUUAUUUUAGAAUUGAGUUAUAUGGCGGAUGUAUUUGAAUUAAUAUUUAUAAA